GAUCCUAUUGACUUACAGCAGUGACAGCAAGAGCUGAUGGAUGGAGUGCGUGGGUAGGGUGAGUGCCCAGUCCAGUGGUCCAGGGCUCCGACAAGAGGAGACGUCUUCUGAGAGAACUACUCCGUUUCCAGCUCUGCUCAUUACUCAGGUUGCACGUCAUGAGUCUGAAAUUUAAGACCUAAUUAGGCAAACAGUUCAUCAGACAGCUACAAACAGUGCGUAAAGGACUGGUGUCUCCAGCCAAAGCGGCGAGGCCAGGUGGGAAUCAGGGGACUGUGAAGUCACAAACGGCGACCGAGCCAAUUGUAGAAGAUCAAAUCCCUCGGGUUAUUGCACUCAGUACACUCCGAUUAAUCACACGCAAUACUAAAGGGAAGAAAGGACUUCACGAACAGCUCCGAGGAGAGACGCAGGAAGCAGAAGUCACAGGAAAACUCUUGCAAGAGCCUCAAUUUACAAGAGCAUCAAUUGUGCACUCACCUAAGCCCUUUACGUACAUCAAUCAUUGCAUCUUUACAACACUUCUCAGGGUAUUUGCAAUUUCCAGAUGAAGAAAGGGAGGCACAGAGAGGGUAAGCGACUUGCCCACGGCACACAGCUGGUAAGUGACCAAGCUAGAACUCUCUACAGGCAGCCUGACUGCAAGGCCUGCAUUCCUUUAUACCACACUUUCCAGGAUUCUGACUACCUUCGUCCGUCUGUGUGGAUGUUGGUGGGAGCUGGAAUUCGUAGAGGAAGGUUGUCUGGUAAUGAGGUUUCACUGCCGCAGCCUCAGGCACAGCCAUCUUCCUGAACAUCUAGGUCCCUGCCAGCAUUAUCUGCUUUCAGAUUUCUCCCUCUCUGCCUAUCCAAACUGUGGUUAGCAUCAGCUAUGAACAAUGAUCCAGUAUUUUCUGUGUGGCAGGCAUGGUUCUAGGCAUCUUACAAAGAGCUCUGAUCCCUAUGGUAUUGUCAUCUCCCCACAAAGACGGAAGGCUCAGAGACGUUAAGCGGCUUGUUCAAAUCCCACAGUGACUGGCAGGCCUGCCACUUUCAUUCU
Long non-coding RNA from Balaenoptera acutorostrata (minke whale), 1039 nucleotides. RefSeq lists it as uncharacterized. NCBI's taxonomy places the organism in Eukaryota, Metazoa, Chordata, Mammalia, Artiodactyla, Balaenopteridae. The transcript has 4 exons. The record is from RefSeq and is a predicted model, not a curated record.